UCCGUAGGUGGAUAAUUAAGUCAGAGGUGAAAUCCUGCAGCUCAACUGUAGAAUUGCCUUUGAUACUGGUUAUCUUGAGUCAUUAUGAAGUGGUUAGAAUGUGUAGUGUAGCGGUGAAAUGCAUAGAUAUUACACAGAAUACCGAUUGCGAAGGCAGAUCACUAAUAAUGUACUGACACUGAGGGACGAAAGCGUGGGAGCAAACAGGAUUAGAUACCCUGGUAGUC
RNAcentral lists this ribosomal RNA (227 nucleotides) under uncultured bacterium. RNAcentral describes it as "partial 16S ribosomal RNA". It matches the Rfam family "Bacterial small subunit ribosomal RNA", at positions 568 to 795 of the family's 1533-position model. The record is from RNAcentral.